UAGUGUUAAAACUAGUUCUAAUGUCUAUAUUUCUCUCUCCAAAAAACCAGGAGAACGUUGCCAGUGACAUUAGAAUCCAGGAGUCUUCGUAUGUGUCACCCUCUCAGUGUGUGCUGACACCACAAGCCCCAUAAUCAGAGAAUGUCAUAGGGGAAGCUCACUGGGAGAAGGAGGUGGCAGUGGCUUCUGCUUGGUGGCAGGAUAUUGCAGUGUUGGACUCUGUUUCAUUUCCGCUGACCAUCCAUACUCUUAAGCCUUUGGGACUUGGCUAACCACAGUCACUCCACUGGCAAGCUCAUUGUCACACAAUAAUCCCCCUGUGACACCAUGAAAGCUUACAGCUUUCUCCCCUGUUAGUGAAUUUUCGAAAAUUAACUGGCAGAGAUUUGAUGGUAAAGUGGGUGGAAGAACAGGUACUUGUCUCAACCUAUCCAUCCAGUCUAGUAGCAAAAUCAUAAUAAUGGCUUGCUGUAUAAGAUAAGGUACCAUGUAUUCUUUUCAGGGCAAGCAGAUUGCAAAUAUAACCUUCUUUUUCAUUUUUUUUUAAAUUCAGAAAUGCUGAGACCUGAAGUUCAACACAGGAAUCUACAGAAUCUGCCAAUUAAAAUAAACCAUUGUGUCCCACUAAGGCUGUACUGUUUGGUUUAACAGAUGAUGAUAAUUUACCUGCAGAAUAGCCUUGUCACUGUAAAAAGAAUUAAAAUUAUAACUCUUCCCCAAUCUUAGCUCGGCGCUUUCUACAGACUGUGGUAUUCUGAGUUUCAAGUAAUAUUCCUCUGUCGCCCCAUAUCCCCAGGUCCUGGAUAAAAAUGAAAUGUACAUUUCAUAAGAAGAUCCCAGUGAGCAGUAAUAAGAAAAAGCAUUCAAUCAUAGUCAAUUGACUAAGGCUGCAGGGACAGGCUCAAGCUACGUUUUUCCUUCUUUUUUUUUUUUUUUUUUUAAUAAGGACUCAAAUAAAAAAAUUAAAUAAAAAUGUUUCUCCCACCAGUUCUAGCUGGCUUGGAAAAGAGAUAGAGUUAAGACUUUCAUACUAUGAAGAUAAUUUUCAAUAAUUAAUUCACAGUUAAUGGAAGCAUCAUUUAUCACCUUAGCUAC
This 1095-nucleotide long non-coding RNA is filed under the name Mus musculus (house mouse). RNAcentral describes it as "long non-coding RNA chr7:70674490-70675585". Lineage: Eukaryota; Metazoa; Chordata; Mammalia; Rodentia; Muridae. The record is from RNAcentral.